This 261-nucleotide ribosomal RNA is filed under the name uncultured bacterium. Its description in RNAcentral is "partial 16S ribosomal RNA". It matches the Rfam family "Bacterial small subunit ribosomal RNA", at positions 92 to 354 of the family's 1533-position model. The record is from RNAcentral.
UUAGUGGCGGACGGGUGAGUAACGCGUGAUAACCUGCCGUAUACAGGGGGAUAACACUUAGAAAUAGGUGCUAAUACCGCAUAAGCGCACGGUUCCGCAUGGAACAGUGUGAAAAACUCCGGUGGUAUACGAUGGAUCCGCGUCUGAUUAGCCAGUUGGCGGGGUAACGGCCCACCAAAGCGACGAUCAGUAGCCGGCCUGAGAGGGUGAACGGCCACAUUGGGACUGAGACACGGCCCAAACUCCUACGGGAGGCAGCAG